Neolamprologus brichardi is the source of this 1050-nucleotide long non-coding RNA. RefSeq lists it as uncharacterized. The record is from RefSeq and is a predicted model, not a curated record. Lineage: Eukaryota; Metazoa; Chordata; Actinopteri; Cichliformes; Cichlidae.
UUAACAAUAUGUAUCAGCUGUGUAAUGGACGACCGUCCUCGGCCCUCAUCGUAGCCACCUCGGAAAUCAAAUCACCGGUGUUCUCUAGCAAUCCAUCUUCAAUAUCCGUUACGAUAACGUCUCUAGAUUGUGCAUAAAGAUGACGAGCCGGUAUCAAUGGCAGGAGAGAGCUACAGCGUCACCGUCAGCAACCUGGCGUUUUCAUUCAGAUCCAUCGAAAGUUUCAGGUCAUAUAUCUCUGCGACUGUGAAGUGAUGAAGGCAACCUCCGGAGCAGCUUGCAGUCAACUUCACAAUAUGCCAUCAAAAGCGAUCCCAUGGCGCCCUCACCUGCCCACAUCACUCGCGAGGCAAACCGGCAGCGCAGGUAGCCACCCAGCACAUUCCUCGUCAUGCAUUGUUCUCAUAUUUGCCGUGGGUCCGGCUUCUGGACUUUAGUCUGGACUGUAGUCCGCUCCAGGAGUGUGACUUGGGUAUCUAAAACUACAACCAGAGAGGUCCUCCUUCACUACAAACGCAGACCUUGACUUCCAGUGAGAAUGAAUGACUGCUACAUACGACGGCUGCUUAAUUACAUAAGAGAAGAGGAAGGGGGGCAAGGAGUGAAGAACGGAUAUAACAUAAAGAAAUAACAUGUCAUUCUGUUCUGGUCGAAUUUAGCCGUAGAAAAAGCAGUAUCACUGAAUGGGACACCCUGAUGGAGGGACAGCGGCCCACAAGAACACGGUAUGGACGAGUGAACCUGUAGGAUCGAGAGAAAUUAGAAAAUGAGAUUUAGAUAAUGAAUAGACGUAGCAGAAGAAGGGCUGGGAUAAAUUAAUUCAGAGAGAGGAGGGCACUCGGGAAGGUGUAGCUAAGGGAUCUCUGCACUCAAAAAAACAAUUCAUUGGAUGAAAGUAAUUUUAUCUUGCCACUUAUAUUCCAUCUAAACAAAUCAUGUUAUAUUAAUCCAUCUUGAUUGUGUUGUGUCAACACGAUAUAUGUGUGUAGGUUUAACAUAAUAUUAACAUUAACAUUUAAUUAAUUUGACUUUUGUUCAAUCAACAUGUUU